GCCACUUUAAUAUGAUAGUCCAGCUAAGCAUUAAGUAUAUUUAAAUAUGGGUUUUUCACGGAAACCUUCCCAGUUUAAAAUUUUAAAUAUUUAUGAAAAUAUAAUUUAGAUAACUUACUAAUUUUGGUUUACUAGGUGCCAGCAACCGCGGUCAUACCUAGAAGGUAAGCUUACAAUUUUAAUAAUUAAUAACUAGCUUAAUUCUGAAAAGUGAGGAUAAGUGGUGAAAUAUUAUUAUCUCUUAAAAUCUUUUAUUUUAAUUAGCUCAUAAAUCCAUAUAAAAAACUAGGAUUAGAGACCCUACUAUUGUGGAGCGAAGAAUUAAUUACUAAGAAGUAAUACUAUAUUAAAACUUAAAUGUUAUGGCGGCUAAGUAAAACAAUUAGGGGAACUUACCAUAUAAUUGAUAGCCACCAAGUAAUAAUCUACUUACUUUUAAAGUUUGUAUACCGUUGUCUCCAUGAGUCUCCUAAAGAGGUUUAUCAAAAUUUUUAUAUAAUAAAAAGACAAAUCAAGGUGCAGCCUAUAAGUAAGAAUUGAGGUGAGUUACAAUAUAAACUUUAUUCGGAAGUAAAUUUAUGAAAUAAUUUAAUAAGAUGGACUUAAAAGUAAUAUAUAAAUGAUACUUAUUAUAUGAAUUUGUAUUGCUUAGUGUA
RNAcentral lists this ribosomal RNA (656 nucleotides) under Isabellaria perplana perplana. Its description in RNAcentral is "partial 12S ribosomal RNA". The record is from RNAcentral. Lineage: Eukaryota; Metazoa; Mollusca; Gastropoda; Stylommatophora; Clausiliidae.